GAUGAACGCUGGCGGCGUGCCUAAUACAUGCAAGUCGAGCGAACAGACGAGGAGCUUGCUCCUUUGACGUUAGCGGCGGACGGGUGAGUAACACGUAGGUAACCUACCUAUAAGACUGGGAUAACUUCGGGAAACCGGAGCUAAUACCGGAUAAUAUUUUGCACCGCAUGGUUCGAUAGUGAAAGAUGGCUUUGCUAUCACUUAUAGAUGGACCUGCGCCGUAUUGGCUAGUUGGUAAGGUAACGGCUUACCAAGGCUACGAUACGUAGCCGACCUGAGAGGGUGAUCGGCCACACUGGAACUUAGACACGGUCCAGACUCCUACGGGAGGCAGCAGUAGGGAAUCUUCCGCAAUGGGCGAAAGCCUGACGGAGCAACGCCGCGUGAGUGAUGAAGGUCUUCGGAUCGUAAAACUCUGUUAUUAGGGAAGAACAAACGUGUAAGUAACUGUGCACGUCUUGACGGUACCUAAUCAGAAAGCCACGGCUAACUACGUG
Molecule: ribosomal RNA, 497 nt
Filed under: uncultured bacterium
Lineage: Bacteria
Description: partial 16S ribosomal RNA
Rfam family: Bacterial small subunit ribosomal RNA
Source: RNAcentral